RNAcentral lists this ribosomal RNA (492 nucleotides) under uncultured bacterium. RNAcentral's name for it is "partial 16S ribosomal RNA". It matches the Rfam family "Bacterial small subunit ribosomal RNA", at positions 29 to 507 of the family's 1533-position model. The record is from RNAcentral.
AGUGAACGCUGGCGGCAGGCCUAAUACAUGCAAGUCGAACGGCAGCACAGUAAGCUUUCUCUUCUACGGUUGGCGACUGGCGGGUGGGUGAGGCAUACAUCGCCAUCUACUUUUCCGUGGAGGACUACGUAGAGCGACAUAUGCUACUACCUCAUACGACAUACCGCAGAAAGCAGGGGUUCUUCGGACCUUGCGUGAACGAAUGAGCCGAUGUCGGAUUAGCUAGUUGGGGGGGUAAAGGCCCACCAAGGCGACGAUCCGUAGCUGGCCUGAGAGGAUGAUCGGCCACACUGGAACUGAGAAACGGUCCAGACUCCUACGGGAGGCAGCAGUGGGGAAUAUUGGCCAAGGGGCGAAAGCCUGAUCCAGCCAUACCGCGUGGGUGAAGAAGGCCUUCGGGUUGUAAAGCCCUUUUUUUGGGAAAGAAAAGCGGCAGAUUGAAACCUCGCUGUUCUGACGGUACCCAAAGAGAAAGCACCGGCUAACUACGUG